CAAAAUUUAUUAUGAGUUUAUUUUACAUAUAAAUUUUAGUAUAAAAUUUUAAUUAUUUAAAAAAUAAUUAAUUUAGGGAUUAUAGUAAUUAAAAUUAAAAAUUUAAGAAAUUAAGAUUUAGUAAUAUAAAAAUUAAUAACUAAUUUUGUGCCAGCAGUUGCGGUUACACAAAAAUUAAAUUAAAUUAUUUCAGUACAUAAUAAAUAAAAUAUAAUUAAAAUAAAUAUUGAAUUAUUAGGUGAAAUUUUAAUUUAAUUAAAUUUUAAGUUAAUUUUAUGAUUUAAUAAAUUUAAUAAUAAACUAGGAUUAGAUACCCUAUUAUUAAAAAUUUAAUUAAUAAUACUAAAAUAGUAGAUAAUAAAUAUUGAAACUUAAAUAAUAUGGCGGUAUUUUAGUUCAUUUAGAGGAAUCUGUUUAAUAAUUGAUAAUCCACGAAUAAAUUUACUUAAUUUAAUAUUUUAUAUAUCGUUGUUAAAAAAAUAUUUUAUUAGAAAAAUAAUAUUUUAAAAUUUAAAAGUAAAAUUAAUUCAGAUCAAGAUGUAGAUUAUAAUUAAGAAUAUAAUGGAUUACAAUAAAAUAAUUUAAAUGAAUAAUUAAUUAUAAGAUUAAUUAGAAGGUGGAUUUAAAUGUAAUUUUAAUUAGUUUAUUAAAAUGAUUAAAAAUUGAAAUAUGUACAUAUUGCCCGUCACUUUCAUUUUAAAAUUGGAAUAAGUCGUAACAAAGUAGAAGUACUGGAAAGUGUUUCUAGAAUGAA
RNAcentral lists this non-coding RNA (754 nucleotides) under Lethe syrcis. Lineage: Eukaryota; Metazoa; Arthropoda; Insecta; Lepidoptera; Nymphalidae. The record is from RNAcentral.